This 74-nucleotide transfer RNA is filed under the name Spirochaetota bacterium. RNAcentral describes it as "Spirochaetes bacterium (wastewater metagenome) tRNA-Met". It matches the Rfam family "tRNA". From Rfam's summary of the family: Transfer RNA (tRNA) molecules are approximately 80 nucleotides in length. Their secondary structure includes four short double-helical elements and three loops (D, anti-codon, and T loops). Lineage: Bacteria; Pseudomonadati; Spirochaetota. The record is from RNAcentral.
GGCGGAGUAGCUCAGCUGGUUAGAGCAUUCGGCUCAUAUCCGAAGGGUCAUUGGUUCAAUCCCGAUCUCCGCUA